GGCGCGCCUCACACAUGCAAGUCGAACGAGAAAGCCCCUUCGGGGGCGAGUACAGUGGCGAACGGGUGAGUAACACGUGGGUUACCUGCCCUUGAGUGGGGAAUAACCCCGGGAAACUGGGGCUAAUACCGCAUACGACCCUUCGGGGUGAAAGCUUUAUGCGCUCGAGGAUGGGCCCGCGGUCGAUUAGCUUGUUGGUGGGGUAAUGGCCUACCAAGGCUUCGAUCGAUAGCCGGCCUGAGAGGGCACACGGCCACACUGGCACUGAGACACGGGCCAGACUCCUACGGGAGGCAGCAGUGGGGAAUCUUGGACAAUGGGGGAAACCCUGAUCCAGCGACGCCGCGUGAUCGAUGAAGGCCUUCGGGUCGUAAAGAUCUUUCAGCGGGGACUAUGAUGAAGGUACCCGCAGAAGCAGGAGCGGCUAACUACGUGCCAGCAGCCGCGGUAAUAC
RNAcentral lists this ribosomal RNA (454 nucleotides) under uncultured sponge symbiont PAUC33. RNAcentral's name for it is "bacterial SSU rRNA". It matches the Rfam family "Bacterial small subunit ribosomal RNA", at positions 41 to 526 of the family's 1533-position model. The record is from RNAcentral.